Molecule: long non-coding RNA, 2051 nt
Organism: Mangifera indica (mango)
Lineage: Eukaryota; Viridiplantae; Streptophyta; Magnoliopsida; Sapindales; Anacardiaceae
Exons: 6
Source: RefSeq, a predicted model, not a curated record
GAGAAGGCUAAGUAUGAAGUAUGAUGCCUGCCUGGCAUUACUUGGAGACACGGUUUUGGUUUAUAAAGGAAAAUGAAAUAAAAUCCUAGCGUGGCCAGGAUAUGGCUAUGACACGUGUCGUAAAAGGAAAAGGAGAUUGGGCUUGGAUUUAUUUCAGCUCAGCUUCAUUAUUUCGUUAACCAAUCCCCUGAAAGCUGAAACCAUCAAGGUAUGGUCUGGUUGCAAGCUCUCAGGAAGUCUUGAUCGGUUCACCUUGCUAAUCCCUUACUGUCUUGACACUAUCGAAUGGGAUGUUAAAUACAAUGCGGACUUUCCACUGGCUGCACCUGAUGUUAUAUUUGGCCCUGAAGACGAAGAGUUUCAUCCAUUUCCAAUGUCACCGCAAGCAAGAAUAGCUUAUCAGAUUGGAACAACAAAGAUCCCACACGGCUAUUGGUUCUCGUUCAGGAAUUGAGGUUAGCGUUAUAGGUUAUGAGAAACUUCGUUUAGAUACUUGAAGAAAAUGAAUGUUAAUUUUUUUUAGGGAUCAGUGCAUGUCCUAUUAAAGGAAGCGUGUUGGAGAGGUAGAUGAUGAUCAAUUGAAAUUUGAAAUCAGUACUAUGUUAUCUAGGGAGGUAAUAUGUUGGCUUUAACAGUCAUGGGAUUUUAUUAUAUGGUAGAAAUUUGAAUUCUCAUAGCAGAAAAUGAAUGAAAUCUAUAUUUCUAAAUCUUUACUAAAUAAACUUAAGACUGGUUUUUCUUCUGCCUUGCAGUUGAUUACUAAUAGUGAACAACAGUAUACUUUGUUUUUUGAUCUUCCAAGUUCUCCUGAAACUCAGUUAUAGCUUGCUGCCUUUUCUAGGACUUACAUUGGUAAAACUAUAGAAAAUGAGAUGUGGAUGACAGUAAUAAGUUAACAGCAAUGAGCACUAAUGAUGAUUAUUUUGCACAGUUUCGAUACAAUUAUUGGUAUAUGCUAACAUGAGCCAUUCUCUCAUACUUAUGGAUGUUGCUUUUCCUUUUGAUGGAGUGAUGAUCCAUGAAUGUUUUUUUUUUUUUUUUGUUUUCGAAACUUGAUGUUAGUUUUAACUCCCUUCAGGUGUCAAAAAGGUAUUUAUCACUCCAUCAAAAUUAAUGAAAACUACUUAGCAUGUCUUUCCAUUUAUAUUUGUGCUUUCCAUGCCUUUAAUUUUUAGCGUAAGCAGAGGAAGUCAAAUUUUCUGUACUUCUUUUAGACAUGAAUAUAAACAAAAUGGUGGUUGGGUGUUAAUGGAGACAUCAACAGAGGGUAUACUUACAGGUUCAAUUCCCCUAUUGUUUUCUUUCUUCAAGUUUCUUUUCCUUUGUCUUUCUUAAUUUCCCCAUAUAUAAUAUCAUGUGCUUCGUGGAUUUUCUUCCAGGUUUUUAACAGAAAUGCUAUGUUUUUUGCUGCCUCUGGAGCUUUCUCCUUCCUGGUGCUAUUUUUCCUGUCUACAAAGUAUCCAAAACAGCAGCCUGUUUUAAUGCUUGAAAGUUCCCUGUAAUUCAACUUUCAAAGUAUCCCGAUCAAGUCUCCUCUUCUAACAGAAUGUGUGUGGAGUUGAAGAUGGGAAGCAACACUGUUGUGCAUUAUUUCAUUCCAGUUGUUAAACAGAGUAUCGCCAUAAAAAGAAGAAAAUUAGAAGCUGAUGCUGAGAACUAGGGCUACUACCAGUCUUAGGUUUCAUUAUGUAUGUGACUGGAAACUGAAGAUAAAGAUGGCUGUUAAUUUGAAGAAUGAUACAAGAAGGCUAAGUCUGAGGGAGGGCGGGAAAGAGAAGAGACUGGAAUUGCCUGGUAUUACCUGGAGACAGGGUUUUCGCUUAUAGAGGAAAAUAAAAUAAAAUCCUAGAGCGACCAGAACGUGGUGUAUGACACGCGUCGAUAAAAGGGAGAAGGAGAUUGGAGUAAUGGGAGUUCUGAGGUUUUUUUUUAGCCUGAAUGAGCUUGAUUGGUCAAAUAGAUUUGAUCCAAAUUUGGUGAUUAAUUUAUCUGGGAUGAACUAAUGAUUGCAUCGAAUUGAUAUGAACGAAUCACAUUGACUUAUAGUUUAA